UUAAGCGACUAAGCGUACACGGUGGAUGCCCUGGCAGUCAGAGGCGAUGAAGGACGUGCUAAUCUGCGAUAAGCGUCGGUAAGGUGAUAUGAACCGUUAUAACCGGCGAUUUCCGAAUGGGGAAACCCAGUGUGAUUCGUCACACUAUCAUUAACUGAAUCCAUAGGUUAAUGAGGCGAACCGGGGGAACUGAAACAUCUAAGUACCCCGAGGAAAAGAAAUCAACCGAGAUUCCCCCAGUAGCGGCGAGCGAACGGGGAGCAGCCCAGAGCCUGAAUCAGUGUGUGUGUUAGUGGAAGCGUCUGGAAAGGCGCGCGAUACAGGGUGACAGCCCCGUACACAAAAAUGCACAUACUGUGAGCUCGAUGAGUAGGGCGGGACACGUGGUAUCCUGUCUGAAUAUGGGGGGACCAUCCUCCAAGGCUAAAUACUCCUGACUGACCGAUAGUGAACCAGUACCGUGAGGGAAAGGCGAAAAGAACCCCGGCGAGGGGAGUGAAAAAGAACCUGAAACCGUGUACGUACAAGCAGUGGGAGCACGCUUAGGCGUGUGACUGCGUACCUUUUGUAUAAUGGGUCAGCGACUUAUAUUCUGUAGCAAGGUUAACCGAAUAGGGGAGCCGAAGGGAAACCGAGUCUUAACUGGGCGUUAAGUUGCAGGGUAUAGACCCGAAACCCGGUGAUCUAGCCAUGGGCAGGUUGAAGGUUGGGUAACACUAACUGGAGGACCGAACCGACUAAUGUUGAAAAAUUAGCGGAUGACUUGUGGCUGGGGGUGAAAGGCCAAUCAAACCGGGAGAUAGCUGGUUCUCCCCGAAAGCUAUUUAGGUAGCGCCUCGUGAAUUCAUCUCCGGGGGUAGAGCACUGUUUCGGCAAGGGGGUCAUCCCGACUUACCAACCCGAUGCAAACUGCGAAUACCGGAGAAUGUUAUCACGGGAGACACACGGCGGGUGCUAACGUCCGUCGUGAAGAGGGAAACAACCCAGACCGCCAGCUAAGGUCCCAAAGUCAUGGUUAAGUGGGAAACGAUGUGGGAAGGCCCAGACAGCCAGGAUGUUGGCUUAGAAGCAGCCAUCAUUUAAAGAAAGCGUAAUAGCUCACUGGUCGAGUCGGCCUGCGCGGAAGAUGUAACGGGGCUAAACCAUGCACCGAAGCUGCGGCAGCGACGCUUAUGCGUUGUUGGGUAGGGGAGCGUUCUGUAAGCCUGCGAAGGUGUGCUGUGAGGCAUGCUGGAGGUAUCAGAAGUGCGAAUGCUGACAUAAGUAACGAUAAAGCGGGUGAAAAGCCCGCUCGCCGGAAGACCAAGGGUUCCUGUCCAACGUUAAUCGGGGCAGGGUGAGUCGACCCCUAAGGCGAGGCCGAAAGGCGUAGUCGAUGGGAAACAGGUUAAUAUUCCUGUACUUGGUGUUACUGCGAAGGGGGGACGGAGAAGGCUAUGUUGGCCGGGCGACGGUUGUCCCGGUUUAAGCGUGUAGGCUGGUUUUCCAGGCAAAUCCGGAAAAUCAAGGCUGAGGCGUGAUGACGAGGCACUACGGUGCUGAAGCAACAAAUGCCCUGCUUCCAGGAAAAGCCUCUAAGCAUCAGGUAACAUCAAAUCGUACCCCAAACCGACACAGGUGGUCAGGUAGAGAAUACCAAGGCGCUUGAGAGAACUCGGGUGAAGGAACUAGGCAAAAUGGUGCCGUAACUUCGGGAGAAGGCACGCUGAUAUGUAGGUGAAGUCCCUCGCGGAUGGAGCUGAAAUCAGUCGAAGAUACCAGCUGGCUGCAACUGUUUAUUAAAAACACAGCACUGUGCAAACACGAAAGUGGACGUAUACGGUGUGACGCCUGCCCGGUGCCGGAAGGUUAAUUGAUGGGGUCAGCGCAAGCGAAGCUCUUGAUCGAAGCCCCGGUAAACGGCGGCCGUAACUAUAACGGUCCUAAGGUAGCGAAAUUCCUUGUCGGGUAAGUUCCGACCUGCACGAAUGGCGUAAUGAUGGCCAGGCUGUCUCCACCCGAGACUCAGUGAAAUUGAACUCGCUGUGAAGAUGCAGUGUACCCGCGGCAAGACGGAAAGACCCCGUGAACCUUUACUAUAGCUUGACACUGAACAUUGAGCCUUGAUGUGUAGGAUAGGUGGGAGGCUU
Molecule: ribosomal RNA, 2129 nt
Filed under: Escherichia coli
Lineage: Bacteria; Pseudomonadati; Pseudomonadota; Gammaproteobacteria; Enterobacterales; Enterobacteriaceae
Description: bacterial LSU rRNA
Rfam family: Bacterial large subunit ribosomal RNA
Source: RNAcentral